Molecule: non-coding RNA, 72 nt
Organism: Ciona savignyi (Pacific transparent sea squirt)
Lineage: Eukaryota; Metazoa; Chordata; Ascidiacea; Phlebobranchia; Cionidae
Source: Rfam
GGCCCGUUGGUCUAGGGGCAUAAUUCUCGCUUUGGGUGCGAGAGGUCCCGGGUUCAAAUCCCGGACGGGCCC